Molecule: ribosomal RNA, 633 nt
Filed under: Pleurotus cystidiosus
Lineage: Eukaryota; Fungi; Basidiomycota; Agaricomycetes; Agaricales; Pleurotaceae
Description: LSU rRNA
Rfam family: Eukaryotic large subunit ribosomal RNA
Source: RNAcentral
AAGCGGAGGAAAAGAAACUAACAAGGAUUCCCCUAGUAACUGCGAGUGAAGCGGGAAAAGCUCAAAUUUGAAAUCUGAUGGUCUUUGGCCAUCCGAGUUGUAAUCUAGAGAAGUGUUAUCCGCGCUGGACCGUGUAUAAGUCUCCUGGAAUGGGGCGUCAUAGAGGGUGAGAAUCCCGUCUUUGACACGGACUGCCAGGGCUUUGUGAUACACUCUCAAAGAGUCGAGUUGUUUGGGAAUGCAGCUCAAAAUGGGUGGUAAAUUCCAUCUAAAGCUAAAUAUUGGCGAGAGACCGAUAGCGAACAAGUACCGUGAGGGAAAGAUGAAAAGAACUUUGGAAAGAGAGUUAAACAGUACGUGAAAUUGUUGAAAGGGAAACGCUUGAAGUCAGUCGCGUCAGCCAGGGAUCAACCUUACUUUUGUGAGGCGUACUUCCUGGUUGAUGGGUCAGCAUCAGUUUUGGCUGCUGGAUAAAGGUCAGAGAAAUGUGGCACCUCCGGGUGUGUUAUAGUCUCUGAUCAGAUACAGUGGCUGGGACUGAGGAACUCAGCACGCCGCAAGGCCGGGGUUCGCCCACGUUCGUGCUUAGGAUGCUGGCAAAAUGGCUUUAAUCGACCCGUCUUGAAACACGGC